UACGUAGGGUGCGAGCGUUGUCCGGAAUUAUUGGGCGUAAAGAGCUUGUAGGCGGUUUGUCGCGUCUGCUGUGAAAAUCCGGGGCUCAACCCCGGACUUGCAGUGGGUACGGGCAGGCUAGAGUGUGGUAGGGGAGACUGGAAUUCCUGGUGUAGCGGUGGAAUGCGCAGAUAUCAGGAGGAACACCGAUGGCGAAGGCAGGUCUCUGGGCCGCUACUGACGCUGAGAAGCGAAAGCAUGGGGAGCGAACAGG
This 253-nucleotide ribosomal RNA is filed under the name uncultured bacterium. Its description in RNAcentral is "partial 16S ribosomal RNA". It matches the Rfam family "Bacterial small subunit ribosomal RNA", at positions 524 to 776 of the family's 1533-position model. The record is from RNAcentral.